GGGUGAUAACUUUUCUUGCUCAGUGGACUGUGAAACUUUAGCUCACUGCAACACUAGGUCACCAGCUUGAAAUUCUUUGAUCUUGACCCGAGCAUUAUAGUACUUAGCCACCCUUUGGCGAUAUGUAGCCAUUCUAACGGUGGCACGUUCUCUGCUUUCUUUGAUUAAGUUGAGAUUAGCUCAAAGUCAUACUGAGUUGGUGUUUUUAUUAUACUCCUCGACUCUGAGGAAUGAAAGCCUGAACUCCAUGGGUAUAAUUGCUUCAGUCCCAAAUGCA
RNAcentral lists this long non-coding RNA (277 nucleotides) under Elaeis guineensis (African oil palm). RNAcentral describes it as "long non-coding RNA (EGUI_LNC029425)". Lineage: Eukaryota; Viridiplantae; Streptophyta; Magnoliopsida; Arecales; Arecaceae. The record is from RNAcentral.